This 83-nucleotide transfer RNA is filed under the name Thermoguttaceae bacterium. RNAcentral's name for it is "tRNA-Leu". It matches the Rfam family "tRNA". Rfam says of the family: Transfer RNA (tRNA) molecules are approximately 80 nucleotides in length. Their secondary structure includes four short double-helical elements and three loops (D, anti-codon, and T loops). Further hydrogen bonds mediate the characteristic L-shaped molecular structure. tRNAs have two regions of fundamental functional importance: the anti-codon, which is responsible for specific mRNA codon recognition, and the 3' end, to which the tRNAs corresponding amino acid is attached (by aminoacyl-tRNA synthetases). tRNAs cope with the degeneracy of the genetic code in two manners: having more than one tRNA (with a specific anti-codon) for a particular amino acid; and 'wobble' base-pairing, i.e. permitting non-standard base-pairing at the 3rd anti-codon position. The record is from RNAcentral. Lineage: Bacteria; Pseudomonadati; Planctomycetota; Planctomycetia; Pirellulales; Thermoguttaceae.
GCGGGUAUGGUGGAACUGGCAGACACGUCGGAUUUAGGUUCCGAUGCGCACCGCGCGUGGAGGUUCGAGUCCUCUUACCCGCA